This is a long non-coding RNA of Papaver somniferum (opium poppy), 519 nucleotides long. RefSeq lists it as uncharacterized. The transcript has 2 exons. The record is from RefSeq and is a predicted model, not a curated record. NCBI's taxonomy places the organism in Eukaryota, Viridiplantae, Streptophyta, Magnoliopsida, Ranunculales, Papaveraceae.
AUAUAUUCAGUUUUGGAUUUUGGUUUUAAUGGAAGAUUUUUAUCUUCGUAAGCUCCAUUCAGUGUGUCAAGAUACGAGUGAUACAAACACCACUAUUUGUAUCUGGCAUAAACAUAUUUCUGCAAGUUUUGUUUGGAACCAGGUUACUGGCUGUCAUUGGUGGUUCCUCUGCUGAUACUGUACCUAUCCUUUGCAUUAUCAGAGACUCAUCUCUACAACGAAUCAAUGAACCUCAUGAAAGAUUUUUACACAGUAUGAUGGAAACUCAAGGAGUCCUGAUUGUAGCUGCAAGCUUGUAGAUCAUACUGGGAUUUAGUCUCGUUGUACACAUUUAAUUCGUAUCUAAAGAUUGUGUUGGCAUAUAAUCUAAUUGUAUCUUACUUAGUUCUUCGUGAUUGAAUCACGGGUUUUUGUUAGAAUUUACUAGCUAUCUUGGACAUGUAUUCUCUGAACUCAGUAUUUCAUCCUUUUUUGUGUAAUUUUACACUCAAUGGUUAAAAUGAAUGAAUGUUAAAAUUA